UUGGCUUAUUCAUGUUGUUGCAUUAAUCUCCAUCAUCAUACCAUGGGCCAGACUAACCUUCCGAAACCAAGAAGUGGGAAAACUCUUUGGGGUUCAUCGGAUGGUUGUGACCUCCAACCCAAGUACUAAUUAAGUACAACUAAAGAGAUUCGAUGAGUCUAAAGCUUAUUCUAGCCUUGCAAUCGAUCCGUGUUUCGGGUAGUAUUCGUCUUCGGUAUCAAAUCCGUAACUGCCUUAGCUGCCUUCCCUUCACCAAGCGUGACUUUCGGCUUGGCGGGGCCAGUCCGAUGAAACCCUGCCUUCGUGCACGCAUACACUAUAUGCUUCCUUUGUGUGCUAGGGUUAGACUUCCGAUUUGGCCGCUUUCGAUAGUCUACGCGAGUGGCAAAACCCUGCUUGUGGACGUAAUCGUUGUACCACUCACGGGUAUGCUCGGGUGAAACUUGUUGCCCCACUCGUGCACAUCACCUGGUCCAAUGGAACUGCCUGCAACAUAUCAUAGAGGAAAGAGACAUAAAUCUCAAAACAUGUACGCUUACUAUUCCUACGGUAGUACACAACUUUUCAACUUUCAUUGUGAACAAUGAUCAAAUACUCAUUUGACCAACUUCCAUUACGAAGUUGUUAUUCGUCCAUUAUUGUAACUGUACUUCGCUAGUAUUCAUGUCCAGUAUCCUAACCAACACACACAAUAGCAGAUUGAUCAGCAACUCUAUUGGCCACAUUGAGCCAUUACUGCAACCCAGAAGAGAGCAGAAAACUUAAACCAUGAAACCAACCUCUAUUUUCAAGAGACCCCAUAAAUCCUACACACUAAAACCUCAUAACUCUAAAUUGGAGAUCUAAACCCCAAACUUACAGGACCUGAUCAUUGACAGCACAAAACCCCCCCAUAUGUAAUAGGUAUGAACACACCUUCGUUGUGCCCUUCAAAUUGCUGGCGGUCAUCCUCGUCUUCGUCAAUGAACAAUACUUCCCCGUGAACUUCGACUCAUCCGCAUCUAAAUUGAUCACAUCGUCGUCAUUUAGGUCUCCCACAAACCCUCUUGGAGUUCCGGCCAUUCAAAAUUCUGAAUCUUGAACAAAAGCCUAGCCUGCAAUUUAAAUUUGGUUGGAGAUAUCUUUAUCAUUAUCUCGCAAUUACAACCACAAAAAAUGAGAUUAGAUAAAUCUUACACAAAAGGGGAUAAUUUACUUUAAUCUGUAUUACACCUUAUUUGGUUAAUUACCAUAGCGUUAUUCAUUUUCAGUUCCCGCCAGUACCAUCCCACCCAUUUCCAGCAUAUUCCCGCCCCUCCUACACACAUUUUUCCGCCCACACUGAU
RNAcentral lists this long non-coding RNA (1325 nucleotides) under Linum usitatissimum (flax). Its description in RNAcentral is "long non-coding RNA (LUSI_LNC005230)". The record is from RNAcentral. Lineage: Eukaryota; Viridiplantae; Streptophyta; Magnoliopsida; Malpighiales; Linaceae.